GCGUAUCAAUAAGCGGAGGAAAAGAAACUAACAAGGAUUCCCCUAGUAACGGAGAGUGAAGCGGGAAGAGCUCAAAUUUGAAAUCUGGUAGCCUUCGGCUGCCCGAGUUGUAAUCUAGAGAAGUGUUUUCCGUGCCGGCCCAUGUACAAGUCCCUUGGAACAGGGCGUCAUAGAGGGUGAGAAUCCCGUCCUUGACAUGGACCCCCGGUGCUUUGUGAUACACUUUCAACGAGUCGAGUUGUUUGGGAAUGCAGCUCAAAAUGGGUGGUGAAUUCCAUCUAAAGCUAAAUAUUGGCGAGAGACCGAUAGCGAACAAGUACCGUGAGGGAAAGAUGAAAAGCACUUUGGAAAGAGAGUUAAACAGUACGUGAAAUUGUUGAAAGGGAAACGAUUGAAGUCAGUCAUGCUCUUUGGAUUCAGCCGUUCUGCGGUGUAUUUCCAUUGAGUGGGGUCAACAUCAGUUUUGACCGCUGGAUAAAGGCACUAGGAAGGUAGCACUCUCGGGUGAACUUAUAGCCUAGCGUCAUAUACAGUGGUUGGGACUGAGGAACGCAGCAUGCCUUUAUGGCCGGGAUUCGUCCACGUACAUGCUUAGGAUGUUGACAUAAUGGCUUUAAACGACCCGUCUUGAAACACGGACC
Molecule: ribosomal RNA, 641 nt
Filed under: Naganishia uzbekistanensis
Lineage: Eukaryota; Fungi; Basidiomycota; Tremellomycetes; Filobasidiales; Filobasidiaceae
Description: eukaryotic LSU rRNA
Rfam family: Eukaryotic large subunit ribosomal RNA
Source: RNAcentral